This 495-nucleotide ribosomal RNA is filed under the name uncultured bacterium. RNAcentral describes it as "partial 16S ribosomal RNA". It matches the Rfam family "Bacterial small subunit ribosomal RNA", at positions 28 to 507 of the family's 1533-position model. The record is from RNAcentral.
GACGAACGCUGGCGGCGUGCCUAAUACAUGCAAGUCGAACGCUGAAGGAGGAGCUUGCUCUUCUGGAUGAGUUGCGAACGGGUGAGUAACGCGUAGGUAACCUGCCUGGUAGCGGGGGAUAACUAUUGGAAACGAUAGCUAAUACCGCAUAAGAGUAGAUGUUGCAUGACAUUUACUUAAAAGGUGCAAUUGCAUCACUACCAGAUGGACCUGCGUUGUAUUAGCUAGUUGGUGGGGUAACGGCUUACCAAGGCGACGAUACAUAGCCGACCUGAGAGGGUGAUCGGCCACACUGGGACUGAGACACGGCCCAGACUCCUACGGGAGGCAGCAGUAGGGAAUCUUCGGCAAUGGACGGAAGUCUGACCGAGCAACGCCGCGUGAGUGAAGAAGGGUUUCGGAUCGUAAAGCUCUGUUGUAAGAGAAGAACGAGUGUGAGAGUGGAAAGUUCACACUGUGACGGUAUCUUACCAGAAAGGGACGGCUAACUACGUG